This 324-nucleotide ribosomal RNA is filed under the name Escherichia coli. RNAcentral's name for it is "partial 23S ribosomal RNA". It matches the Rfam family "Bacterial large subunit ribosomal RNA", at positions 916 to 1238 of the family's 2925-position model. The record is from RNAcentral. Lineage: Bacteria; Pseudomonadati; Pseudomonadota; Gammaproteobacteria; Enterobacterales; Enterobacteriaceae.
CGGCAAGGGGGUCAUCCCGACUUACCAACCCGAUGCAAACUGCGAAUACCGGAGAAUGUUAUCACGGGAGACACACGGCGGGUGCUAACGUCCGUCGUGAAGAGGGAAACAACCCAGACCGCCAGCUAAGGUCCCAAAGUCAUGGUUAAGUGGGAAACGAUGUGGGAAGGCCCAGACAGCCAGGAUGUUGGCUUAGAAGCAGCCAUCAUUUAAAGAAAGCGUAAUAGCUCACUGGUCGAGUCGGCCUGCGCGGAAGAUGUAACGGGGCUAAACCAUGCACCGAAGCUGCGGCAGCGACACUAUGUGUUGUUGGGUAGGGGAGCG